Piliocolobus tephrosceles (Ugandan red Colobus) is the source of this 232-nucleotide long non-coding RNA. RefSeq lists it as uncharacterized. NCBI's taxonomy places the organism in Eukaryota, Metazoa, Chordata, Mammalia, Primates, Cercopithecidae. The record is from RefSeq and is a predicted model, not a curated record. The transcript has 3 exons.
AUGUGAAUAUCCCCAAAUUUGAAAAAUUCAAAAUCUGGAACACUUCUGGUCCCAAGCAUUUCAGUAUGAUAUCUUAACAAGGAGAAAAAGGAAGAGGGUUGCAACUGGCACUCUGAAAUUGCAUAUAACCUGGAGCCUGUAAUAUUUCCAUCAAAAACAAAUUCCUAAGAGUUAAUAUGAAGUAGAAAGAGAAGUUGGAGUUAAGCAGCUCGUUCAAAUUCUGAUUUUGCCA